GAUGAACGCUGGCGGCGUGCUUAACACAUGCAAGUCGAACGGAAAGGCCGAAGCUUGCUUCGGUACUCGAGUGGCGAACGGGUGAGUAACACGUGGGUGAUCUGCCCUGUACUUCGGGAUAAGCUUGGGGAACUGGGUCUAAUACCGGAUAUGACGAUCUCUUGGAUGGGGUUGUGGAAAGCUUUUGCGGUAUGGGAUGAGCUCGCGGCCUAUCAGCUUGUUGGUGGGGUAAUGGCCUACCAAGGCGUCGACGGGUAGCCGGCCUGAGAGGGUGUACGGCCACAUUGGGACUGAGAUACGGCCCAGACUCCUACGGGAGGCAGCAGUGGGGAAUAUUGCACAAUGGGCGCAAGCCUGAUGCAGCGACGCCGCGUGGGGGAUGACGGCCUUCGGGUUGUAAACUCCUUUCGCAAUCGACGAAGCCUUUUGGUGACGGUAGGUUGAGAAGAAGCACCGGCUAACUACGUG
Molecule: ribosomal RNA, 468 nt
Filed under: uncultured bacterium
Lineage: Bacteria
Description: partial 16S ribosomal RNA
Rfam family: Bacterial small subunit ribosomal RNA
Source: RNAcentral